GCCCUGGACGAAGAGGACUUCAUCCAGUACAUCAUCACCAGGCUGGGUCCUGAAUUCAGCGAGGUGGUGUCAGCCGUGUGCGCUAGGGUUGAGCCCAUCACGGUUGGGGAGUUGUAUUCGCAACUCCUUAGAUUUGAGA
This 139-nucleotide small nucleolar RNA is filed under the name Leersia perrieri. Its description in RNAcentral is "Small nucleolar RNA Z247". It matches the Rfam family "Small nucleolar RNA Z247". From Rfam's summary of the family: Z247 is a member of the C/D class of snoRNA which contain the C (UGAUGA) and D (CUGA) box motifs. Most of the members of the box C/D family function in directing site-specific 2'-O-methylation of substrate RNAs. Lineage: Eukaryota; Viridiplantae; Streptophyta; Magnoliopsida; Poales; Poaceae. The record is from Rfam by way of RNAcentral.